UUCUUGGUCUGGACAUAGACUAUAUAUUACAUGGACUGCCAACUCUACGCACUAAGCCUAUAUUUUUCAAUAAACAAGUCCCGUUCACGGAGGCGUCCUUGGUUGCGUGGUAAAUUGACUUCCGGUAGAUUUUUUUUUACGUAUAAAGAAACCAUUCUCGAAGAUUUUUACCACCACUUUUACAGCAAAUCAUGAAUGGAAACUGAAUUGUUAAAGAAGAUGUUACAGAGGAGCAUACUACUUCCACAAACCUGAUUUGAUUGUCACUAACUUUCAAAUUGAAAGGGAUCUACUACAACUGCUCAUGAAUUUCGAGAUUUUACAGCUAAUAGAGGAACAAAUUUUAUCUGCUUCCACUUAGCCAAACAGCAUGGAAAUAUGCUAUUGUAAUGAGUAGAAGAUAUUUGUCAUUUAGAGUAUCAUGCAACAGCUAAUUAUCAGUCCACACAUUUCAAGAUGAGGAAAAGAACAGUAUAAGCUCCAUUCAUUGAUGCAUUAUUUAUACAAAAAUGUAUAGUCAACCCAGUCAUCACUCCAUUUUUUUAUGAAGCCAGUUACAGUUACCAUGAAGGGAUGAAAUUUCAGAUAAUAUUCUGUUUAUUUCAUGAAAUGAGAAUAGGCCUACAUCAGAAAUUGAGAUGGUCAUCUUCAGUAUUUAAUGUUUCAUCUAAAAAUGAUAAUUAUAUUAAUACAUAUUUGAUGUACAAACAAAUGAAAACCAUUCAAACACUUUUUUUUGUGAAGUAUAGAUGAUUAAACUUGUAAG
This is a long non-coding RNA of Biomphalaria glabrata, 766 nucleotides long. RefSeq lists it as uncharacterized. The record is from RefSeq and is a predicted model, not a curated record. The transcript has 3 exons. Lineage: Eukaryota; Metazoa; Mollusca; Gastropoda; Planorbidae.